This 178-nucleotide non-coding RNA is filed under the name Thermoflexales bacterium. RNAcentral's name for it is "6S RNA". It matches the Rfam family "6S / SsrS RNA". From Rfam's summary of the family: E. coli 6S RNA was the first non coding RNA to be sequenced, but its function was unknown until recently. It consists of 184 nucleotides that fold into an extended hairpin structure with a large single-stranded internal bulge. Lineage: Bacteria; Bacillati; Chloroflexota; Thermoflexia; Thermoflexales. The record is from RNAcentral.
AUAGCCCUGCUGUGCUCGUGAUCGCCGAACUGGGGUUUUGAGCCAACACCUAUACAACGGGAACCGAUCUCGCGGACAGGGAUGCGGUAGCCCUUUGGGCAAGGCAGACCUGCCGGGUAGGUUCCCACCUGCGAAAGCGGGUUCAAAACUUUGCGGCACACGGCAUGGCGGGGCCUUU